RNAcentral lists this ribosomal RNA (497 nucleotides) under uncultured bacterium. Its description in RNAcentral is "partial 16S ribosomal RNA". It matches the Rfam family "Bacterial small subunit ribosomal RNA", at positions 28 to 507 of the family's 1533-position model. The record is from RNAcentral.
GAUGAACGCUGGCGGCGUGCCUAAUACAUGCAAGUCGAGCGAACAGACGAGGAGCUUGCUCCUCUGACGUUAGCGGCGGACGGGUGAGUAACACGUGGAUAACCUACCUAUAAGACUGGGAUAACUUCGGGAAACCGGAGCUAAUACCGGAUAAUAUAUUGAACCGCAUGGUUCAAUAGUGAAAGACGGUUUUGCUGUCACUUAUAGAUGGAUCCGCGCCGCAUUAGCUAGUUGGUAAGGUAACGGCUUACCAAGGCAACGAUGCGUAGCCGACCUGAGAGGGUGGUCGGCCCACAUUGAACUGGAGAAACGGUCCGAACUCUACGGGAAGGAGGAGUAGGGAAAUUUUCGGCAUUGGCGGAAGGCUUACGGAGGAAACGCGCGGGGGGGAAGGAGGGUCUCGGAUUGUAAAACCCCGGUAAUUGGGAAGAACAAAUUGUGAAGGUACUAUGCACGGCUUGGAGGUAACCAAUCAGAAAGGCACGGCCUACUAAGGU